CCUACGGGAGGCAGCAGUGGGGAAUAUUGGACAAUGGGGGCAACCCUGAUCCAGCCAUGCCGCGUGAGUGAUGACGGCCUUAGGGUUGUAAAGCUCUUUUCUCCGGGACGACAAUGACGGUACCGGAGGAAUAAGCCCCGGCUAACUUCGUGCCAGCAGCCGCGGUAAUACGAAGGGGGCUAGCGUUGCUCGGAAUCACUGGGCGUAAAGGGCGCGUAGGCGGCUGACUUAGUCGAGGGUGAAAGCCCGUGGCUCAACCACAGAAUGGCCUUCGAUACUGGUUGGCUUGAGACCGGAAGAGGACAGCGGAACUGCGAGUGUAGAGGUGAAAUUCGUAGAUAUUCGCAAGAACACCAGUGGCGAAGGCGGCUGUCUGGUCCGGUUCUGACGCUGAGGCGCGAAAGCGUGGGGAGCAAACAGGAUUAGAUACCCUGGUAGUCCACGCUGUAAACGAUGAAUGCUAGCCGUUGGUCUGCAUGCAGGUCAGUGGCGCCGCUAACGCAUAAGCAUUCCGCCUGGGGAGUACGGUCGCGAAGAUUAAAACUACAAAGGAAAUUGACGG
RNAcentral lists this ribosomal RNA (562 nucleotides) under uncultured bacterium. Its description in RNAcentral is "bacterial SSU rRNA". It matches the Rfam family "Bacterial small subunit ribosomal RNA", at positions 338 to 916 of the family's 1533-position model. The record is from RNAcentral.